CAGGGAUUGCCCUAGUAACGGCGAGUGAAGCGGCAACAGCUCAAAUUUGAAAUCUGGCCCUUGGGUCCGAGUUGUAAUUUGUAGAGGAUGUUUUUGGUGCGGUAUCUUCCGAGUUCCUUGGAACAGGACGCCUUAGAGGGUGAGAGCCCCGUACGGUUGAAUGCCUAGCCUUUGUAAAACUCCUUCGACGAGUCGAGUAGUUUGGGAAUGCUGCUCUAAAUGGGAGGUAAAUUUCUUCUAAAGCUAAAUACUGGCCAGAGACCGAUAGCGCACAAGUAGAGUGAUCGAAAGAUGAAAAGCACUUUGAAAAGAGGGUUAAAUAGCACGUGAAAUUGUUGAAAGGGAAGGAUUUAUGACCAGACUUUUUCUGGGCGGAUCAUCCGGUGUUCUCACCGGUGCACUUCGCUCAGUUUAGGCCAGCAUCGAUUUUCGGUGGGGGAUAAAAGCUUUAGGAAUGUGGCUCCUCCGGGAGUGUUAUAGCCUAUUGUAUAAUACCCUACUGGGGAUCGAGGUACGCGCUUCUGCAAGGAUGCUGGCGUAAUGGUUAUCAAUCACCCGUCUUGAAACACGGACCAAGGAGUCGAACAUUUGUGCAAGUGUUUGGGUGUUAAACCCUCACGCGUAAUGAAAGUGAACGGAGGUGAGAGCCCUUACGGGUGCAUCAUCGACCGAUCCUGAUGUUUUCGGAUGGAUUUGAGUAAGAGCAUAACUGUUCGGACCCGAAAGAUGGUGAACUAUGCGUGGAUAGGGUGAAGCCAGAGGAAACUCUGGUGGAGGCUCGCAGCGGUUCUGACGUGCAAAUCGAUCGUCAAAUCUGCGCAUGGGG
RNAcentral lists this ribosomal RNA (826 nucleotides) under Discosia rubi. Its description in RNAcentral is "partial 28S ribosomal RNA". It matches the Rfam family "Eukaryotic large subunit ribosomal RNA", at positions 69 to 922 of the family's 3401-position model. The record is from RNAcentral. Lineage: Eukaryota; Fungi; Ascomycota; Sordariomycetes; Amphisphaeriales; Sporocadaceae.